Molecule: ribosomal RNA, 256 nt
Filed under: uncultured Gardnerella sp.
Lineage: Bacteria; Bacillati; Actinomycetota; Actinomycetes; Bifidobacteriales; Bifidobacteriaceae
Description: partial 16S ribosomal RNA
Rfam family: Bacterial small subunit ribosomal RNA
Source: RNAcentral
CGAACGGGUGAGUAAUGCGUGACCAACCUGCCCCAUGCUCCAGAAUAGCUCUUGGAAACGGGUGGUAAUGCUGGAUGCUCCAACUUGACGCAUGUCUUGUUGGGAAAGUGUUUAGUGGCAUGGGAUGGGGUCGCGUCCUAUCAGCUUGUAGGCGGGGUAAUGGCCCACCUAGGCUUCGACGGGUAGCCGGCCUGAGAGGGCGGACGGCCACAUUGGGACUGAGANACGGCCCAGACUCCUACGGGAGGCAGCAGGU